GACUGGUUAACCACUAAUCAUUUAUAAAUGUAAUUUUUAAAAGAGUAUAUGAUAUGCACUAAUUAUAUAUAUAUAUUCACUAUAUAAAUAUGACAGAUUUAUUCAUGAAUAUGAAACUAAGUUGUAUGAGUUAUACACUCACUUAUAUAAUUUUUAUAGUUAAUAGAUCUUCCCCUUACUAAGUGAAAGGAGUAUUUGUUUCUCCAGGGGGUGGGAACUCUUUGUACCAUACUGGUACUUUAAUAGAUGGUCUAAUUGAUAUCAACCCAAUUAAUUUACCAGGUCUACCACGUGUUCUAAAUUGGUUAGACAUUAUACCCAUUUGAAUUGCCUUCACUCCUGAGUCUCUGAGUGUCAGGUUCAAGCUGCUGACCGACGAGGUUCCUUAUGCUUGCGAACCAGUUAGAUUCUAUACACAUAUGAAUCUUCCCCAUAUUCGAAUAUCUGAAUGUCAGACUCAAGCUGAUGAUAUAUGAGGUAUGGUCCUCGCUGUAUCAAUCAAGUCCCAUUGAAAUAUUGAAACGUUGUUCAUACAUCUUUGAAUGACCUUUUAUGUGCUGACAAUAUGUUCUGAAAUGAAGAGGUAUGUU
This is a long non-coding RNA of Pseudophryne corroboree (corroboree frog), 590 nucleotides long. RefSeq lists it as uncharacterized. NCBI's taxonomy places the organism in Eukaryota, Metazoa, Chordata, Amphibia, Anura, Myobatrachidae. The record is from RefSeq and is a predicted model, not a curated record. The transcript is spliced from 3 exons.